AUUGAACGCUGGCGGCAGGCUUAACACAUGCAAGUCGAGCGGAAACGAUACUAGCUUGCUAGUAGGCGUCGAGCGGCGGACGGGUGAGUAAUACUUAGGAAUCUACCUAGUAGUGGGGGAUAGCACGGGGAAACUCGUAUUAAUACCGCAUACGACCUACGGGAGAAAGGGGGCAACUUGUUGCUCUCGCUAUUAGAUGAGCCUAAGUCGGAUUAGCUAGAUGGUGGGGUAAAGGCCUACCAUGGCGACGAUCUGUAGCUGGUCUGAGAGGAUGAUCAGCCACACCGGGACUGAGACACGGCCCGGACUCCUACGGGAGGCAGCAGUGGGGAAUAUUGGACAAUGGGGGCAACCCUGAUCCAGCCAUGCCGCGUGUGUGAAGAAGGCCUUUUGGUUGUAAAGCACUUUAAGCAGUGAAGAAGACCAUAUGGUUAAUACCCAUAUGCGAUGACAUUAGCUGCAGAAUAAGCACCGGCUAACUCUGUGCCAGCAGCCGCGGUAAUACAGAGGGUGCAAGCGUUAAUCGGAAUUACUGGGCGUAAAGGGAGCGUAGGUGGCUCGAUAAGUCAGAUGUGAAAUCCCCGGGCUCAACCUGGGAACUGCAUCUGAUACUGUCGUGCUAGAGUAUGUGAGAGGAAGGUAGAAUUCCAGGUGUAGCGGUGAAAUGCGUAGAGAUCUGGAGGAAUACCGAUGGCGAAGGCAGCCUUCUGGCAUAAUACUGACACUGAGGCUCGAAAGCGUGGGUAGCAAACAGG
Molecule: ribosomal RNA, 755 nt
Filed under: uncultured bacterium
Lineage: Bacteria
Description: bacterial SSU rRNA
Rfam family: Bacterial small subunit ribosomal RNA
Source: RNAcentral